Long non-coding RNA from Branchiostoma floridae (Florida lancelet), 648 nucleotides. RefSeq lists it as uncharacterized. The transcript has 3 exons. Lineage: Eukaryota; Metazoa; Chordata; Leptocardii; Amphioxiformes; Branchiostomatidae. The record is from RefSeq and is a predicted model, not a curated record.
ACAGGGUUAGUGCCUGGGCUAGCGGCAGCCAUGACUGAGCACUUACCCCAAGCCUAGGACUUCCUAACAAGUUAGGUGUGGUUGUCGAAUAUUCACCGGAUCGCGGAAACCUUCCGAAAAGAACAAGAUGAGAGCUGCCAGGGUCAGCAACAGGAACACACACGAACAAUCGAGACACGGACAAGGCAAAACGCAAGGACAGAAAAUUCACACAGCCGGCCAAGGCUUUACCAUGAACGAGCUGACUGAGACAGACCACACGGAUACGGGUGGAGCAAAGAGCCGUGGUGCCCUCUGUAUUCGCUCCCACUCCAGCUGCAUAGCUACCACCAUUAUCAUACUGCUCUCAGUGGGAGUGACUGUGGGACUAACGUUCAUCAAUAAAAAGGAGAUAUCUGAGCUGUCGACCAUUGUUGACGUUUUAAAGCGUGACCUGAACAAGGAGCAAAGCAAAACAGCUAUCUUGGAGCAGCGUCUUCACGAGAUGAGUGAGUCACCUGGUGAGUUGGGUUUUCAGUUGUUAAAUGUCAUUUUUCUUUAUCUACUAAUUUUUCAAUGUGAUAUUUGUUUUGGUAUAUUAGGCAGCAUCAUUAGUAUAUAUUAACAACGGGAAAAUUUAUGGCCUAUUGUUAGUCCAUUAAAUGAUUA